AAUCAUUCAUUUUUCCAAAGUCGAGAAUGAUUGUACCAGAAUGUCUUUGUCACUAUCAUAUAAGCACUUCAAAUGUCUAGUGUGUUAUUCAUCUCAUGAUAUUUUCCGGCUCAAUCUUUUCCAUGUCAACAAACCUUACUUAUCAUUCUUCUAAAUUAAUCAAAACAACACCGGCAGUUGCAAAAAAAGAACCUCAAUGAAACCCGAGUAGUCGUCUUCGCCGGGGCUGGCAUACAAACCCAGCGCACCCAAACAGAGUUAGGAAUAGUGUGUUUGGUGAUAAAGAUGGUGGGGAAUAGAGGAUUCGAUGAUUGGGGUCUCUCUCAAAUGUUAAGCACCUUCAUCACCUUCACGCCAGGGAAGGAGAGUUUUCCCGUCGGAGCCGCCAGCCGCCACCGAUCGUCGGCGUCGUCCGACCGAAUUCCGGCCGCCGCAUGUUAGUUUUCGAAGAGACGAACGAUUUUGAGGUGUUAAAUCUAGCAUUACUAUC
Long non-coding RNA from Papaver somniferum (opium poppy), 490 nucleotides. RefSeq lists it as uncharacterized. The transcript has 3 exons. Lineage: Eukaryota; Viridiplantae; Streptophyta; Magnoliopsida; Ranunculales; Papaveraceae. The record is from RefSeq and is a predicted model, not a curated record.